RNAcentral lists this ribosomal RNA (506 nucleotides) under uncultured bacterium. RNAcentral describes it as "partial 16S ribosomal RNA". It matches the Rfam family "Bacterial small subunit ribosomal RNA", at positions 30 to 523 of the family's 1533-position model. The record is from RNAcentral.
AUUGAACGCUGGCGGCAUGCCUUACACAUGCAAGUCGAACGGCAGCAUGGAGGAGCUUGCUCCUCUGAUGGCGAGUGGCGAACGGGUGAGUAAAGCAUCGGAACGUACCGUGUAGUGGGGGAUAACGUAGCGAAAGUUACGCUAAUACCGCAUACGCACUGAGGUGGAAAGCAGGGGAUCGCAAGACCUUGCGCUAUACGAGCGGCCGAUGUCAGAUUAGCUAGUUGGUAGGGUAAAGGCCUACCAAGGCGACGAUCUGUAGCGGGUCUGAGAGGAUGAUCCGCCACACUGGGACUGAGACACGGCCCAGACUCCUACGGGAGGCAGCAGUGGGGAAUUUUGGACAAUGGGGGAAACCCUGAUCCAGCCAUGCCGCGUGAGUGAAGAAGGCCUUCGGGUUGUAAAGCUCUUUCGGCCGGGAAGAAAUCGCACAGGCUAAUACUCUGUGUGGAUGACGGUACCGGCAUAAGAAGCACCGGCUAACUACGUGCCAGCCGCCGCAGUAA